GAUGAAGAACGUAGUGAAAUGCGAUAAGUAAUGUGAAUUGCAGAAUUCAGUGAAUCAUCGAAUCUUUGAACGCACAUUGCGCCCGCCAGUAUUCUGGCGGGCAUGCCUGUUCGAGCGUCAUUUCAACCAUCAAGCCCCCCGGCUUGUGUUGGGGACCUGCGGCUGCCGCAGGCCCUGAAAAGCAGUGGCGGGCUCGCUGUCACACCGAGCGUAGUAGAUCUCAUCUCGCUCAGGGCGUGCUGCGGGUUCCGGCCGUUAAACCACCUUCAUAACCCAAGGUUGACCUAGGAUCAGGUAGGAAGACCCGCUGAACUUAAGCAUAUCAAUAAGCGGAGGA
RNAcentral lists this unclassified non-coding RNA (337 nucleotides) under soil metagenome. RNAcentral's name for it is "partial contains 5.8S ribosomal RNA, internal transcribed spacer 2, and large subunit ribosomal RNA". The stretch from base 1 to 120 matches the Rfam family "5.8S ribosomal RNA", at positions 35 to 154 of the family's 154-position model. The record is from RNAcentral.